RNAcentral lists this ribosomal RNA (468 nucleotides) under uncultured bacterium. Its description in RNAcentral is "partial 16S ribosomal RNA". It matches the Rfam family "Bacterial small subunit ribosomal RNA", at positions 28 to 507 of the family's 1533-position model. The record is from RNAcentral.
GACGAACGCUGGCGGCGUGCUUAACACAUGCAAGUCGAACGGAAAGGCCCUGCUUUUGUGGGGUGCUCGAGUGGCGAACGGGUGAGUAACACGUGAGUAACCUGCCCUUGACUUUGGGAUAACUUCAGGUAACUGGGGCUAAUACCGGAUAGGAGCUCCUGCUGCAUGGUGGGGGUUGGAAAGUUUCGGCGGUUGGGGAUGGACUCGCGGCUUAUCAGCUUGUUGGUGGGGUAGUGGCUUACCAAGGCUUUGACGGGUAGCCGGCCUGAGAAGGUGACCGGCCACAGUGGGACUGAGAUACGGCCCAGACUCCUACGGGAGACAGCAGUGGGAAAUAUUGCACAAUGGUCGGAAGCCUGAUGCAGCAACGCCGCGUGCGGAAUGACGGCCUGCGGGUUAUAAACCGCUUUCGCCUGUGACGAAGCGGGAGUGACGGUAAUGAGUGAAGAAGCACCGGCUAACUACGUG